GACGUAGGGGCCAAGCGUUGUCCGGAUUCAUUGGGCGUAAAGCGCGCGUAGGCGGUUACGCAAGUCGGUUGUGAAAAUCCGGGGCUCAACCCCGGACCUGCAUCCGAUACUGCGUGACUAGAGGUAGGUAGGGGAGAUCGGAAUUCCUGGUGUAGCGGUGAAAUGCGUAGAUAUCAAGUGGAACACCAGUGGCGAAGGCGAAUCCCUGGAAAAUACCUGACACUGAGGCACGAAAGCUAGGGGAGCAAACAGG
RNAcentral lists this ribosomal RNA (253 nucleotides) under uncultured bacterium. RNAcentral describes it as "partial 16S ribosomal RNA". It matches the Rfam family "Bacterial small subunit ribosomal RNA", at positions 524 to 776 of the family's 1533-position model. The record is from RNAcentral.